Molecule: ribosomal RNA, 278 nt
Filed under: Eubacterium ramulus ATCC 29099
Lineage: Bacteria; Bacillati; Bacillota; Clostridia; Eubacteriales; Eubacteriaceae
Description: partial 16S ribosomal RNA
Rfam family: Bacterial small subunit ribosomal RNA
Source: RNAcentral
UACGUAUGGAGCAAGCGUUAUCCGGAUUUACUGGGUGUAAAGGGAGCGUAGGCGGUCCUGCAAGUCUGAUGUGAAAGGCCGGGGCUCAACCCCGGGACUGCAUUGGAAACUGUAGGACUAGAGUGUCGGAGGGGUAAGUGGAAUUCCUAGUGUAGCGGUGAAAUGCGUAGAUAUUAGGAGGAACACCAGUGGCGAAGGCGGCUUACUGGACGACUACUGACGCUGAGGCUCGAAAGCGUGGGGAGCAAACAGGAUUAGAUACCCGAGUAGGACUGACU